This 408-nucleotide ribosomal RNA is filed under the name Deltaproteobacteria bacterium. RNAcentral describes it as "bacterial SSU rRNA". It matches the Rfam family "Bacterial small subunit ribosomal RNA", at positions 1 to 379 of the family's 1533-position model. The record is from RNAcentral. Lineage: Bacteria; Pseudomonadati; Myxococcota; Myxococcia.
UAAGUGGAGAGUUUGAUCCUGGCUCAGAACGAACGCUGGCGGCGUGCCUAACACAUGCAAGUCGAACGAGAAAUCGGGCACUCAGGCAACUGAGUGCCGGAGAGUAAAGUGGCGCACGGGUGAGUAACGCGUGGGUAACCUGCCCUCGAAUCUGGGAUAACAUCGCGAAAGCGUUGCUAAUACCGGAUACCGCCCCUCGGACCGUGGUCCAGGGGGUGAAAGGUGACCUCUUCAUGAAAGUUGCCGUUCGGGGAUGGGCCCGCGUACCAUUAGCUUGUUGGCGGGGUAAUGGCCCACCAAGGCUACGAUGGUUAGCUGGUCUGAGAGGAUGAUCAGCCACACUGGAACUGAAACACGGUCCAGACUCCUACGGGAGGCAGCAGUGAGGAAUUUUGCGCAAUGGGGGAA